This is a long non-coding RNA of Hyaena hyaena (striped hyena), 108 nucleotides long. RefSeq lists it as uncharacterized. The record is from RefSeq and is a predicted model, not a curated record. NCBI's taxonomy places the organism in Eukaryota, Metazoa, Chordata, Mammalia, Carnivora, Hyaenidae. The transcript is spliced from 3 exons.
GAGAACACCAGCCAGGAUUGCGUUUGUGACCCGCUUCUGACUCUAGACUGUCACACACUCUCUUGGGCAUGUGGAGAUGUCAGGAUGUGGAAGUGGAGGAAAAAGUAC